CAAGAGCGUAUGUAAAAGUUGUUGCAGUUAAAAAGCUCGUAGUUGAACCUUGGGUUUGGUUGGCCGGUCCGCUUUUUUGCGAGUACUGGAUUCAACCGAGCCUUUCCUUCUGGCUAACCAGUCGUUUCGGCGGCUGGCGAACCAGGAUUUUUACUUUGAGAAAAUUAGAGUGUUCAAAGCAGGCAUUAGCUUGAAUAUAUUAGCAUGGAAUAAUAGUAUAGGACGUUAUGGUUCUAUUUUGUUGGUUUCUAGGACCAUCGUAAUGAUUAAUAGGGACGGUCGGGGGCAUCAGUAUUCAGUUGUCAGAGGUGAAAUUCUUGGAUUUACUGAAGACUAACUACUGCGAAAGCAUUUGCCAAGGACGUUUUCAUUAA
Molecule: ribosomal RNA, 374 nt
Filed under: uncultured eukaryote
Lineage: Eukaryota
Description: partial 18S ribosomal RNA
Rfam family: Eukaryotic small subunit ribosomal RNA
Source: RNAcentral